UUCGCAAUGCCCGAAAGGGUGACGAAGCGACGCCGCGUGGGUGAGGAAGGCCCUCGGGUUGUAAAGCCCUGUCAGGAGUUAAGAAAUGUAGAUACGCUAAUAUCGUAUCUAUUUGACAAAGGCUCCAAAGGAAGCCACGGCUAACUCUGUGCCAGCAGCCGCGGUAAUACAGAGGUGGCAAGCGUUGUUCGGAAUUAUUGGGCGUAAAGAGCACGUAGGUGGAUUUGUAAGUCAGGUGUGAAAGCCUUCUGUUCAACGGAAGAAUUGCAUCUGAAACUACAAACCUUGAGUAUAGGAGGGGAGAAUGGAACUUCUGGUGGAGCGGUGAAAUGCGUAGAUAUCAGAAGGAACGCCGGCGGCGAAAGCGAUUCUCUGGCCUAUUACUGACACUCAGUGUGCGAAAGCUAGGGGAGCAAACGGGAUUAGAUACCCCGGUAGUCCUAGCCGUAAACGAUGGGCACUAAGUAGAGGGGUUUU
RNAcentral lists this ribosomal RNA (477 nucleotides) under uncultured anaerobic ammonium-oxidizing bacterium. Its description in RNAcentral is "bacterial SSU rRNA". It matches the Rfam family "Bacterial small subunit ribosomal RNA", at positions 365 to 832 of the family's 1533-position model. The record is from RNAcentral.